This 492-nucleotide ribosomal RNA is filed under the name uncultured bacterium. RNAcentral describes it as "partial 16S ribosomal RNA". It matches the Rfam family "Bacterial small subunit ribosomal RNA", at positions 29 to 507 of the family's 1533-position model. The record is from RNAcentral.
AGUGAACGCUGGCGGUAGGCCUAACACAUGCAAGUCGAACGGCAGCACAGUAAGAGCUUGCUCUUACGGGUGGCGAGUGGCGGACGUGUGAGGAAUACAUCGGAAUCUACUUUUUCGUGGGGGAUAACGUAGGGAAACUUACGCUAAUACCGCAUACGACCUACGGGUGAAAGCAGGGGAUCUUCGGACCUUGCGCGAUUGAAUGAGCCGAUGUCGGAUUAGCUAGUUGGCGGGGUAAAGGCCCACCAAGGCGACGAUCCGUAGCUGGUCUGAGAGGAUGAUCAGCCACACUGGAACUGAGACACGGUCCAGACUCCUACGGGAGGCAGCAGUGGGGAAUAUUGGACAAUGGGCGCAAGCCUGAUCCAGCCAUACCGCGUGGGUGAAGAAGGCCUUCGGGUUGUAAAGCCCUUUUGUUGGGAAAGAAAAUCAGCAGGUUAAUACCCCGCUGUUCUGACGGUACCCAAAGAAUAAGCACCGGCUAACUUCGUG